Molecule: Y RNA, 102 nt
Filed under: Propithecus coquereli (Coquerel's sifaka)
Lineage: Eukaryota; Metazoa; Chordata; Mammalia; Primates; Indriidae
Description: Y RNA (ENSPCOG00000009841.1)
Rfam family: Y RNA
About the family: Y RNAs are components of the Ro ribonucleoprotein particle (Ro RNP), in association with Ro60 and La proteins. The Y RNAs and Ro60 and La proteins are well conserved, but the function of the Ro RNP is not known. In humans the RNA component can be one of four small RNAs -- hY1, hY3, hY4 and hY5.
Source: Rfam by way of RNAcentral
GGUUGGUACGAGUGCAGUGGUGUUUACAACUAAUUGAUCACAGCCGGUUACAGAUUCCUUUGUUCCUCCUCCAUGCCCACUGCUUCACUUGACCAGCCUUAA